Molecule: long non-coding RNA, 2196 nt
Filed under: Gossypium barbadense (sea-island cotton)
Lineage: Eukaryota; Viridiplantae; Streptophyta; Magnoliopsida; Malvales; Malvaceae
Description: long non-coding RNA (GBAR_LNC013146)
Source: RNAcentral
UUAAACCUCCUGCAAGUUUUCAACACAAUUCAAUAUUCCAACCAAGUUCAGUUGUACAAACAUACAAAAUUUAACCAUUAAUAAACAUUACAUUUUAAAUCGAACCAUAACAUAUAUUUACAUGGUGACGCCCCAUUACAUAAGUCGUCUAUACAUGCCAUAAUUUCCAGAAUACUAGUAGCCAAAAUACUCAAACGUGGAUGAUAGUGUAGAUGAUUGUCUGACUCCGUCCAAAUUCCGAGUUGAUGGAAAUCACUAUAAUCAAGGGAAAAAUAAAAACGAGUAAGCAUAUAGCUUAGUAAGUAAACAUAUGACAAAUAAAUAAUUUCUCACAUGACUACACCAUAGUAUAAAUUUAUUCACAAAUAAAUUUCAUUAUUUGUGUAAUUUCCAGCAAGCUGGUUUUCUGCGUCAUGACCACUAAUUUAUUUUUAUUCGGAGCUACAUGGCUUCAAAUUGAAUUCUGUAAAUUUUUCAUGAAACUAGACCCAUAUAUCUUUCUAUUUCAGAAUUUUUGAUCGAGCCAAUUAGUACAGUUUAUUCUUUAAAUCUUCCCCUGUUUCACUGCCCAACAGUCCUGACCUCCCCUUACAAAAUUUCACAUAACUCUCUGUACAAGUUUCAAAAAAUGUUCUCGUUUGUUUCUAUUAAAAAUAGACUCAAAAAGGAAUCCAUUCAUAUAGAUUUCAAGCCAUAAUUAUUUUUUUUAAAUUUUUGGUGAUUUUCCAAAGUUGGAAUAGGAGAUUUCAAAAUCAAUCCAGCCCUGUCUCAGUAAAAUUCAAAUAUCUCCAAAAAUACAACUCUUUUGCUUACUAUAUUUCUUUCAUAUGAAAAUAGACUCAUUCAGCUUUAAUUUCAUAUAUUAUUUAACCUCUAAUUCAUUUUCCACCAUUUAUGGUGAUUUUUCAAAGUUGCCCAACUGCUAUCAUUCAAAACAGUUGGCAUUCAAAUUGUCUCUUUUUGUGUUUUUGAUUUUCCUCCCAUCUUAUACAUGGGUUGAUUAAUUAUCAAACCCAAUAUUCCUCCCAUAAACUUGUCCACCACAUAUAUGAAUAUUCACCUUCCCAAUUUACUCGUUGAACACUCGGAAUGUUAACCGUUAUCGGUGGAUUCCGCACUUAGCAACCACCAAUGAAUCGAGGAAUCAGCACACAGCAACCCAUUGGGGGAAUCAGCACUUAGCAACCCCCUUCACAUUUCAGAUGCGGUGGAAUCAGCACUUAGCAACCACCAAAUGAGUCGGGGAGUCAGCACUUAGCAACCCCUCGGGGGAAUCAGCACUUAGCAACCCCUCGGGGGAAUCAGCACUUAGCAACCCCCUUUCACAUUUAAAAUAUGGUGGGAUCAGCACUUAGCAACCACGAAUAGGUAGGGGAAUCAGCACACAGCAACCCCUUUAUAUGCAAUAUGCUCCGGCCUAUUCCGAGUGUUCAACCAAAAACCGUGUUUUGCAACCCCUUACCACCUUUCUCGAUUUAACAACAUUUUUGGAAUCUUGCCAAACAUUUAUUUUAUAUUCAAAUACAUCUCAACACAUAUCAAAUAAUACCAAAAUAAUACAUUAAGUCACGUGUUUACUUACCUCGGUGCAAAAUAUCGUAAUUUUACAAUUCACUCAACUAUCUUUUCUUUUCCUCGUUUGAGAUAAUCUUCCCGUUUUUCUUGAUCUAUAAUGGCAAAUUUAACUCAUUUAAUGUUCACAUUUAUUGAAAUAAUCCACCACCCAACUUUUUGAAAAAUUACAAUUUUACCCCCAAACUUCUGCAUAAUUACACUUUUGUCCCCAAGCUCGGGAAUUAAACUUCAUCACUUAUUCUUAUGUUUUAUGACAUGCUGAACAUUUUUCGCUUCUAUGGCAACAUCAAAUUCUCACUCUAGCACAUACUUUUGAACAUUAACAAUUUUUACCGAUUAUGUCAAUUUACCCGUUUUCGUUUAAAAUCGCUUAGCAAAAGUUGUUUAACAUAAUUUCUAGCUUCAUAUUCCACCAUAAAACAGAAAAAUAAACACUUUUCACCUAUGGGUAUUUUUCCAAAUAUAAACCCUAACAUGAAUUAUUGAUAAAAUAAGCUAAACCGAGCUACGAGGAUUUCAAAAAUGCAAAGAACAUUAAAAACGGGGCUAAGAUGCACUUACUAUGAGCUUGAGAAAGCAAAGAAACCCUAGCUAUGGUGUCUUCUAAAAUUUGGCAGCAAC